RNAcentral lists this long non-coding RNA (328 nucleotides) under Felis catus (domestic cat). RNAcentral describes it as "lncRNA (ENSFCAG00000043596.2)". The record is from RNAcentral. Lineage: Eukaryota; Metazoa; Chordata; Mammalia; Carnivora; Felidae.
CAGCUUCAGCCUUUCCUCAGGGCAGCUCAGUAUAUUAAUUGUGGAAGUCCCAGCUACUAUGAAGAAAAUUUUAAAACUCAACUUUAAGAAGAUGUCAAAGAGAACUUCAGAGCUGAUUUUUCUUCAGAUUGCAUUUACUUGCUAUGUGAUUGAAGCAUUAAGAACUUGAAAGUCUCAUGGAUCAGGCCCAUCCUCAUUAGCACAUGAAAACAAGCACAACCAACUACUCAGGUACAUAGUCUGUGUGUGUCCAGGUGUUAGAACGUCAAUUCUGAUACUUCUUGUUCUCUUGAAGUUAAAAAUAAAACAAAGAAAUGUUAAUGGCUCA